AAAAAUAAUAAAACCCAUUUCUUUCAUAUGAUAGCACAUUCAUUUCCUUUCACUUAUAAAUCAUCAUAUUAACAAUUAUUUCAUAUUAUAACAGUAAUGUAAAUUCAAAUACCAUCAUGUGAUGACAUAACCAUCUUCAUAAAUAUGUAGGGAAAGAAAACAAAGUACUGAAGACAUUCAAAUGUGCAACUACAAAUCAGGGAAAUAUGUGCAAGAGACCAACUAUGUUUAAACUUCAUUCUAUAUUGUAUUGGGCCAACUAAAAAUUAUCUAUGAUGGUUUGAUCUCUAGUGUUUUAUAUUUACUUGUUAUUAAGUAGAAGGGCUAUAUCAAAUCUUCUAGGUUACCCUUAUCCAGUGGCAGCUCAUGGAUGAUUUUUGUGGGAGGACUGAAAAAAAUUAUAAUAAAAAAUUUUUGCUGAAUUUUUUGCUUUGUUCAUUUCUAUAAAAAUGUAAUUAAAAUUAAAUAUAAUAUUUAAAUACAAAAAUAAUUAUCUUACCUUUUAAAAUUUAUUAAAUGUAAUAAGACACAAUUAUAUACAAGCUAAAAUACGUAGUGCGGACUGAAAUGUUUGUAGCCCAUGAUAUAUGUCUGACAAAAAUUUAUAUCAUGGAUUACCUCCAUCUGCUCAAUACACUGACUAUGUGGUGUGACUCAGUCUGCACUGACUACAGCCCUGAUGAGUACGCAAUCACACUGACUCAUACAAUACACACAUACAGAGCACCUAUCGAAGUACCUAGUACCUACAAUUCAAAAAUAAAUAUACUACGAAUGGAAAAAAUAUGUUUUUAUAAAAUAAUUGUAUAGUAAUGUAAUAGCUAUAAUAAUUUAAAAAUGUUUUCAUUUUGAU
This 853-nucleotide long non-coding RNA is filed under the name Androctonus crassicauda. The record is from RNAcentral. Lineage: Eukaryota; Metazoa; Arthropoda; Arachnida; Scorpiones; Buthidae.